UAGGGAAUAUUGGGCAAUGGAGGGAACUCUGACCCAGCCAUGCCGCGUGCAGGAUGAAGGCGUUAUGCGUUGUAAACUGCUUUUAUAUAGGAAGAAAUAGUCCUUGCGAGGAAAGUUGACGGUACUAUAUGAAUAAGCACCGGCUAACUCCGUGCCAGCAGCCGCGGUAAUACGGAGGGUGCAAGCGUUGUCCGAAUUUAUUGGGUUUAAAGGGUGCGUAGGCGGUUUAUUAAGUCAGUGGUGAAAGACGGUCGCUCAACGAUUGCAGUGCCAUUGAUACUGGUAGACUUGAGUAUGAUUGAGGUAGCUGGAAUGGAUAGUGUAGCGGUGAAAUGCAUAGAUAUUAUCCAGAACACCAAUUGCGUAGGCAAGUUACUAAGUCAUAACUGACGCUGAGGCACGAAAGUGUGGGUAUCAAACAGGAUUAGAUACCCCUGUAGUCCCUGAGCGGGCUGGCAAGGCGCAU
This 466-nucleotide ribosomal RNA is filed under the name uncultured bacterium. RNAcentral describes it as "bacterial SSU rRNA". It matches the Rfam family "Bacterial small subunit ribosomal RNA", at positions 355 to 825 of the family's 1533-position model. The record is from RNAcentral.